Molecule: long non-coding RNA, 253 nt
Filed under: Selaginella moellendorffii
Lineage: Eukaryota; Viridiplantae; Streptophyta; Lycopodiopsida; Selaginellales; Selaginellaceae
Description: long non-coding RNA (SMOE_LNC001130)
Source: RNAcentral
UGUUUUUUUAUUUUAUUUUUUGUUAAUUUCUUUUGUGAUUCUUUUUUCUGGGUCCUUUCCUUUUAAUUCCAUGGUCAAUCAAUCUACUUCCCCCCACCAUCGAAUAGGCUGUCAUCAAUUUUCAAGCAGAGAAUCAACAAUUUCACAAUGCCCUCAUUGUUCUUCAAUAAGAGCUCGUAGCACUCUCUACAGCUCCAACUCGUGCUUCUUCAUCGGAGCCCAAGGUGAGCUUUCCUUCCAAGUUCAUUGGGAA